Molecule: transfer RNA, 92 nt
Filed under: Cellulomonas hominis
Lineage: Bacteria; Bacillati; Actinomycetota; Actinomycetes; Micrococcales; Cellulomonadaceae
Description: tRNA-Pro
Source: RNAcentral
CGCCGCCUGGACGACGGGGUCGGUCCCGGCGACCUCGGGCGGCGCGGCGGGCAGCAGCCGGCGCACGGCGGGCUCCGCGUCCGCGGCGGCGA